RNAcentral lists this ribosomal RNA (37 nucleotides) under Gymnopilus sp. 'cerasinus'. RNAcentral's name for it is "Gymnopilus cerasinus partial 18S ribosomal RNA". Lineage: Eukaryota; Fungi; Basidiomycota; Agaricomycetes; Agaricales; Galerinaceae. The record is from RNAcentral.
UUCCCCUUCCGUAGGUGAACCUGCGGAAGGAUCAUUA